CCUACGGGCGGCUGCAGUGAGGAAUUUUGCGCAAUGGCCGCAAGGCUGACGCAGCAACGCCGCGUGGGUGAUGAAGGCCUUCGGGUCGUAAAGCCCUGUCAGGUGGGAAGAAAGGUUUCAAGGGGAAAGACUUGGGAUUUGACGGUACCACCAGAGGAAGCACCGGCUAACUCCGUGCCAGCAGCCGCGGUCAUACGGAGGGUGCGAGCGUUAUUCGGGUGUAGUGGGCGAAACACGCGUGUUGGGGGGGCCCUGGGCUUAACCUGGGAAGGGCAUUGGAAACUGUGUUUCUUGAGUACUGGAGAGGAAGGGGGAAUUCCCGGUGUAGAGGUGAAAUUCGUAGAGAUCGGGAGGAAUACCAGUGGCGUAGGCGCCCUUCUGGACGGUAACUGACGCUGAGACGCGAAAGCGUGGGGAGCAAACAGGAUUAGAUACCCCUGUAGUC
Molecule: ribosomal RNA, 445 nt
Filed under: uncultured bacterium
Lineage: Bacteria
Description: partial 16S ribosomal RNA
Rfam family: Bacterial small subunit ribosomal RNA
Source: RNAcentral